This 253-nucleotide ribosomal RNA is filed under the name uncultured bacterium. RNAcentral describes it as "partial 16S ribosomal RNA". It matches the Rfam family "Bacterial small subunit ribosomal RNA", at positions 524 to 776 of the family's 1533-position model. The record is from RNAcentral.
UACAGAGGUCCCAAGCGUUGUUCGGAUUCACUGGGCGUAAAGGGUGCGUAGGCGGUCUGACAAGUCUGGUGUGAAAUCUAUGGGCUCAACCCAUAGUCUGCAUCGGAAACUGUCGGGCUUGAGUAUGGGAGAGGUGAGUGGAAUUUCCGGUGUAGCGGUGAAAUGCGUAGAUAUCGGAAGGAACACCUGUGGCGAAAGCGGCUCACUGGACCAUUACUGACGCUGAGGCACGAAAGCUAGGGGAGCAAACAGG